This 494-nucleotide ribosomal RNA is filed under the name uncultured bacterium. Its description in RNAcentral is "partial 16S ribosomal RNA". It matches the Rfam family "Bacterial small subunit ribosomal RNA", at positions 28 to 507 of the family's 1533-position model. The record is from RNAcentral.
GACGAACGCUGGCGGCGUGCUUAACACAUGCAAGUCGAACGGUGAAGCGCCUUCCUUUUUGGUGGGUGUGGAUGAGUGGCGAACGGGUGAGUAACACGUGAGUAACCUGCCCCCUUCUUCUGGAUAACCGCAUGAAAGUGUGGCUAAUACGGGAUAUUCUGGGUCUGUCGCAUGAUGGGUCUGGGAAAGAUAUUGUUUCGGUGGGGGAUGGUCUCGCGGCCUAUCAGCUUGGUGGUGGGGUGAUGGCCUACCAAGGCGGUGACGGGUAGCCGGCCUGAGAGGGUGGACGGUCACACUGGGACUGAGACACGGACAAGACUCCUACGGGAGGCAGCAGUGGGGAAUAUUGCACAAUGGGCGCAAGCCUGAUGCAGCGACGCCGCGUGAGGGAUGGAGGCCUUCGGGUUGUGAACCUCUUUCGCCAGUGAAGCAGGCCUGCCUCGUUUGUGGGUGGGUUGACGGUAGCUGGAUAAGAAGCGCCGGCUAACUACGUG